GGAUGUGAGGGUGAUCUGGCUGAGACUUCUGUCACCCUAUUGAUUGCCAGAGUUGAUUCAGCUGACCUGGCUGGCUAGGUGGGUGUCCCCUGUCUCCCUCACUGCUCCAUGUGCAUUCCUGCAGAAGCUGGAUGAUCAGUGGAAGAGAACGACUAUCCCUCCUCCCCUCCAUAGAGGAGGACUGUUUCCUUGGUCAAGGGUAUGUGAGUAGCUGUACUCUCCUGCUAGAACCUCCAAACAAGCUCUCAAGGAUAUGUAUCAUCUCUCUCUCUCUUUUUUUAAAUACCUAGACAUUGUAAAUAUUUUAUCAUUUUAUGG
RNAcentral lists this small RNA (318 nucleotides) under Chinchilla lanigera (long-tailed chinchilla). Its description in RNAcentral is "7SK RNA (ENSCLAG00000021478.1)". It matches the Rfam family "7SK RNA". Rfam says of the family: 7SK was discovered as an abundant small nuclear RNA in the mid-70s but a possible function has only recently been suggested. Two independent studies have found that 7SK RNA binds the CDK9/cyclin T complex (known as elongation factor P-TEFb). The record is from RNAcentral. Lineage: Eukaryota; Metazoa; Chordata; Mammalia; Rodentia; Chinchillidae.